RNAcentral lists this ribosomal RNA (301 nucleotides) under uncultured bacterium. RNAcentral describes it as "partial 16S ribosomal RNA". It matches the Rfam family "Bacterial small subunit ribosomal RNA", at positions 509 to 807 of the family's 1533-position model. The record is from RNAcentral.
CAGCAGCCACGGUAAUACGGAGGGUGCAAGCGUUAAUCGGAAUUACUGGGCGUAAAGCGCACGCAGGCGGUCUGUCAAGUCAGAUGUGAAAUCCCCGGGCUUAAUCUGGGAACUGCAUUUGAAACUGGCAGGCUAGAGUCUUGUAGAGGGGGGUAGAAUUCCAGGUGUAGCGGUGAAAUGCGUAGAGAUCUGGAGGAAUACCGGUGGCGAAGGCGGCCCCCUGGACAAAGACUGACGCUCAGGUGCGAAAGCGUGGGGAGCAAACAGGAUUAGAUACCCGCGUAGUCCCUGUCUCUUAUAC